AUGGGUGGUGGCCCUAAGCGAGGGAUAGAUGUGGCGGACUAUGCUCUAAUUGAGUAUGACAUGAGGAUUAAGAGAGGCAGACAAGAAAGAGAUGACCUACAACUGAUCGAUGGAGCAAUAUCCUUAGGCCCCCACGGGACAUGGGAUCGGCCGUUCACAUAUAACAUCUCUAACGAUUGUGGCGGUGCUGUUGACAUAACUUUAGCACGUCUUUCUUGCGCGGUCGAGGCGACCGUAGAGGUUCUCAUAUCGGAAGUGCAGAGCGGUUUCCAUAUGUCCCUCAGAUGUUUUACUAGUGGGUUUGAUACGGAGGUCCGGCUCUUUGAUGGCGCUGUUGUCAAGUCUUGCGGCUUGAAGAGGUCCGUGGUUGCCGUAGUGGAGUGGUCUUUCAUACGUUUGAAAUUCAAGGUACACACACCGUCAUCCGGUUCCGGGUCUAAACGUCGUUGUACCUUCAAGGCCAAGACACAUGGGUAUAAUACCCGAGAGAUAAAAACCGAUUUUGCGUUGAUCUCGGUGAAGGUGACUUGGUCUACGUUGCCCGGUUGCUUUCCUGGCUAA
RNAcentral lists this ribosomal RNA (561 nucleotides) under Triticum aestivum (bread wheat). RNAcentral describes it as "partial small subunit ribosomal RNA". Lineage: Eukaryota; Viridiplantae; Streptophyta; Magnoliopsida; Poales; Poaceae. The record is from RNAcentral.